Molecule: ribosomal RNA, 612 nt
Filed under: Serratia sp. (in: enterobacteria)
Lineage: Bacteria; Pseudomonadati; Pseudomonadota; Gammaproteobacteria; Enterobacterales; Yersiniaceae
Description: bacterial SSU rRNA
Rfam family: Bacterial small subunit ribosomal RNA
Source: RNAcentral
GAGCUAACGCGUUAAGUCGACCGCCUGGGGAGUACGGCCGCAAGGUUAAAACUCAAAUGAAUUGACGGGGGCCCGCACAAGCGGUGGAGCAUGUGGUUUAAUUCGAUGCAACGCGAAGAACCUUACCUACUCUUGACAUCCACAGAAUUCGCUAGAGAUAGCUUAGUGCCUUCGGGAACUGUGAGACAGGUGCUGCAUGGCUGUCGUCAGCUCGUGUUGUGAAAUGUUGGGUUAAGUCCCGCAACGAGCGCAACCCUUAUCCUUUGUUGCCAGCACGUGAUGGUGGGAACUCAAAGGAGACUGCCGGUGAUAAACCGGAGGAAGGUGGGGAUGACGUCAAGUCAUCAUGGCCCUUACGAGUAGGGCUACACACGUGCUACAAUGGCAUAUACAAAGAGAAGCGAACUCGCGAGAGCAAGCGGACCUCAUAAAGUAUGUCGUAGUCCGGAUCGGAGUCUGCAACUCGACUCCGUGAAGUCGGAAUCGCUAGUAAUCGUAGAUCAGAAUGCUACGGUGAAUACGUUCCCGGGCCUUGUACACACCGCCCGUCACACCAUGGGAGUGGGUUGCAAAAGAAGUAGGUAGCUUAACCUUCGGGAGGGCGCUUACCAC